This 537-nucleotide long non-coding RNA is filed under the name Homo sapiens (human). Its description in RNAcentral is "HSALNT0118991". Lineage: Eukaryota; Metazoa; Chordata; Mammalia; Primates; Hominidae. The record is from RNAcentral.
GAUGCCUCCUAUAAAAUGUUCCCUUUGUAAAAAUCAGACCAGCUGAGAUUGGUUAGAACGAAGACAGCCAAAGAAAGGACUGCAAAAAGACUUCCGGCUUCAUUAUAAUCUCAUUUCCAUGCUAAAUGACACUCUUGCCAGUGCUGCCUUGACAAUCACUAUGAUAAUGACCAGAAGAAGUCAUAAAAAGACUAAAAGAAAGGUGGCACUACUGGCUUUGGAAAGUUCACUGCCUGUCCCAGGAAACAUGUAAAUAUUCCUGCCCUCACUUCUAAGGUCCAACCCCUUCAUUAGAGAAACCCUAUAUUUUAAACCUCUCACCCCUUGGUUUGUCAGCCAUGUUACUGCUUCUCAGUUCCAUGGCCAUCAAAUAAAGCCUGUACUACUUGAUGCUCAUUUUUGGUUUUGCAUUUUGGCUUCAUGUCAUGGAAAAGGAAAAUACCCUAUUUUGCUGAAUCGGCUUUGUCAGUAACAAAUUUAUAACAUUAGAUUGAAUCCUAUGAUCAAUUGUAUGCUGUUUGAAGCUCUAUACCACCA